CAAAGGCCAUUUUAAAUCGAAAAACGCUCAUUCGUCACCCUCCUAUUCUCUCUCGUCUCCUCUCCUUCCCCAAAUCCUCUUACCUCUCUCUACAUUAUCUCUUCCUCUCCUUCUCCUCUUUCUCCUCCUCAGUUCGUCGGCAGAAGCGACGACAGCGACGCCGCCGCCGCUCCUCUCUCCCAUUUCUUUCUUCUCUUUUUCGUUUCUUCUUGCCCUCUCCCCCUUUUUUUGGCUCACCUCCUCUCUGCUCUCAACUCACCACUCGCAGCGUCGUCGUCGCCGUCUCUUCCUCGGUGGAAAAGAAGAAAAAAAAGGUAAGCACUCCGCUAUGUUCCCCCACUCUUUUAAUUUCUCGAUUUCGAACGGAUUCAGAUUUGCAUGCGUCGGAGGAUGCCUCCGGUGAGUCCUCCUGAGACAUGGAAGCCCCCGAUCUACAAAUCUAGGGUUUGAUUAGGUUUUUUUUUAUAUAUUUUUUUACUUGCUUUCAUGUUUUUUCUUUGGGGGGUGAGAUUCGGUUGAUAGGAAGAAGAAGAUCCCGUGGCAGCAGCGAAAAGACAGGCAGAGAGAAAGGGUGUUAGGUAAAAGAAACUCUCCCCUGUUUCUUUUCAUUAAUCUAUGUUUAGUUGAUAACGAAAUUAAAUAACGAUCUUUUUGAUUUUUCCAGAUCUACAAAAAUGUGUAAAACCGAGUUGCUCUAGAAAAUCGGGAGGAAAAGGAAAAGAUUGCCUCUAGAAGGUAAAACAAUUAGUCUCUAUCUGUUCUUAUUUUGCUUGAUAGAUGGUGAUAGUUUUGUUGUUGAUUAGGUUACUUGAAAUUAAAAAACUUGACUAUUUUGUUGUUAAGAUGAACUUAGUCAUGUGGACAUCCUAAAAACUAUCAAUUUGCUUGAAAAUUUGAUUAUUUUGUUAUCCUUGAUAAAAUACAUUUUAGCUCGAUUUCAGUACUAUGUUGUGAAUUGUUGGUGCAAAUGGUGUGAAAAUGAUGAUAAAUGGUCUUUAAGUCUCUUAUUAAUGUAAUUUCCAGCAACUUUUAUUUAUUUUAGAAUGUUUAUUUUACUGUUUAGUCCAUUGUUUGCUAAGAUGAUGGAUCAUUUAUUCAUUUAGUUGUAAUGGAUACUAGAUUAAAAGUGGCUUUAAACAACAUGGCAUAACAAACACAUUCAUAUGCAUGAGCUGAAAAUAUGAGUGAUAUGUGAAUGAUCGAAAAUAGGGAUGUUUGUGAAUGAUAUACUUUUAAUACAAAGCUUCGUUCUUGUGUUUCAGGAGGCGGCGCCCUUUGUGGGUGACGACAAAAUUCUCUUUUGGCGACUUCUACGAGGGUGACCACAAAAGAGACUUGUAAUUUUUUUUUAGCGUUUUGUAAUAUUUAUUUCUUGGGACUUUGUGGGGUUGUGAACUGAUUUGUAUACGGGUUUAAGGGGUUUUUGAGGAGAAUUGAGGGAGAAUUGGAGAGUUUUUGUAACUUUUUAUUUCAAUCUUUUUCUUUUAAAUGUAAAAAUGGCUACCACCUCCCCUCAAAACUAACCACAACUUUACAAUGCAUUUUGACACAAAAGGGAGGUGGCAGCUCCCUAAUUAAUAACAGUAAUAGGCCCGAAAUUGGACCUCAAAUAGGGCCCAAAAUCAAAUUGGGCCGAAAUAUGCAUAAACCGUCGC
RNAcentral lists this long non-coding RNA (1655 nucleotides) under Linum usitatissimum (flax). RNAcentral's name for it is "long non-coding RNA (LUSI_LNC005923)". Lineage: Eukaryota; Viridiplantae; Streptophyta; Magnoliopsida; Malpighiales; Linaceae. The record is from RNAcentral.